RNAcentral lists this ribosomal RNA (2930 nucleotides) under Escherichia coli 95JB1. Its description in RNAcentral is "bacterial LSU rRNA". It matches the Rfam family "Bacterial large subunit ribosomal RNA". The record is from RNAcentral. RNAcentral also lists the same sequence under 1 other name. Lineage: Bacteria; Pseudomonadati; Pseudomonadota; Gammaproteobacteria; Enterobacterales; Enterobacteriaceae.
GGGUUGUGAGGUUAAGCGACUAAGCGUACACGGUGGAUGCCCUGGCAGUCAGAGGCGAUGAAGGACGUGCUAAUCUGCGAUAAGCGUCGGUAAGGUGAUAUGAACCGUUAUAACCGGCGAUUUCCGAAUGGGGAAACCCAGUGUGUUUCGACACACUAUCAUUAACUGAAUCCAUAGGUUAAUGAGGCGAACCGGGGGAACUGAAACAUCUAAGUACCCCGAGGAAAAGAAAUCAACCGAGAUUCCCCCAGUAGCGGCGAGCGAACGGGGAGGAGCCCAGAGCCUGAAUCAGUGUGUGUGUUAGUGGAAGCGUCUGGAAAGGCGCGCGAUACAGGGUGACAGCCCCGUACACAAAAAUGCACAUGCUGUGAGCUCGAUGAGUAGGGCGGGACACGUGGUAUCCUGUCUGAAUAUGGGGGGACCAUCCUCCAAGGCUAAAUACUCCUGACUGACCGAUAGUGAACCAGUACCGUGAGGGAAAGGCGAAAAGAACCCCGGCGAGGGGAGUGAAAAAGAACCUGAAACCGUGUACGUACAAGCAGUGGGAGCACGCUUAGGCGUGUGACUGCGUACCUUUUGUAUAAUGGGUCAGCGACUUAUAUUCUGUAGCAAGGUUAACCGAAUAGGGGAGCCGAAGGGAAACCGAGUCUUAACUGGGCGUUAAGUUGCAGGGUAUAGACCCGAAACCCGGUGAUCUAGCCAUGGGCAGGUUGAAAGUUGGGUAACACUAACUGGAGGACCGAACCGACUAAUGUUGAAAAAUUAGCGGAUGACUUGUGGCUGGGGGUGAAAGGCCAAUCAAACCGGGAGAUAGCUGGUUCUCCCCGAAAGCUAUUUAGGUAGCGCCUCGUGAAUUCAUCUCCGGGGGUAGAGCACUGUUUCGGCAAGGGGGUCAUCCCGACUUACCAACCCGAUGCAAACUGCGAAUACCGGAGAAUGUUAUCACGGGAGACACACGGCGGGUGCUAACGUCCGUCGUGAAGAGGGAAACAACCCAGACCGCCAGCUAAGGUCCCAAAGUCAUGGUUAAGUGGGAAACGAUGUGGGAAGGCCCAGACAGCCAGGAUGUUGGCUUAGAAGCAGCCAUCAUUUAAAGAAAGCGUAAUAGCUCACUGGUCGAGUCGGCCUGCGCGGAAGAUGUAACGGGGCUAAACCAUGCACCGAAGCUGCGGCAGCGACGCUGAUGCGUUGUUGGGUAGGGGAGCGUUCUGUAAGCCUGUGAAGGUGUGCUGUGAGGCAUGCUGGAGGUAUCAGAAGUGCGAAUGCUGACAUAAGUAACGAUAAAGCGGGUGAAAAGCCCGCUCGCCGGAAGACCAAGGGUUCCUGUCCAACGUUAAUCGGGGCAGGGUGAGUCGACCCCUAAGGCGAGGCCGAAAGGCGUAGUCGAUGGGAAACAGGUUAAUAUUCCUGUACUUGGUGUUACUGCGAAGGGGGGACGGAGAAGGCUAUGUUGGCCGGGCGACGGUUGUCCCGGUUUAAGCGUGUAGGCUGGUUUUCCAGGCAAAUCCGGAAAACUAAGGCUGAGGCGUGAUGACGAGGCACUACGGUGCUGAAGCAACAAAUGCCCUGCUUCCAGGAAAAGCCUCUAAGCAUCAGGUAACAUCAAAUCGUACCCCAAACCGACACAGGUGGUCAGGUAGAGAAUACCAAGGCGCUUGAGAGAACUCGGGUGAAGGAACUAGGCAAAAUGGUGCCGUAACUUCGGGAGAAGGCACGCUGAUAUGUAGGUGAAGUCCCUCGCGGAUGGAGCUGAAAUCAGUCGAAGAUACCAGCUGGCUGCAACUGUUUAUUAAAAACACAGCACUGUGCAAACACGAAAGUGGACGUAUACGGUGUGACGCCUGCCCGGUGCCGGAAGGUUAAUUGAUGGGGUCAGCGCAAGCGAAGCUCUUGAUCGAAGCCCCGGUAAACGGCGGCCGUAACUAUAACGGUCCUAAGGUAGCGAAAUUCCUUGUCGGGUAAGUUCCGACCUGCACGAAUGGCGUAAUGAUGGCCAGGCUGUCUCCACCCGAGACUCAGUGAAAUUGAACUCGCUGUGAAGAUGCAGUGUACCCGCGGCAAGACGGAAAGACCCCGUGAACCUUUACUAUAGCUUGACACUGAACAUUGAGCCUUGAUGUGUAGGAUAGGUGGGAGGCUUUGAAGUGUGGACGCCAGUCUGCAUGGAGCCGACCUUGAAAUACCACCCUUUAAUGUUUGAUGUUCUAACGUUGACCCGUAAUCCGGGUUGCGGACAGUGUCUGGUGGGUAGUUUGACUGGGGCGGUCUCCUCCUAAAGAGUAACGGAGGAGCACGAAGGUUGGCUAAUCCUGGUCGGACAUCAGGAGGUUAGUGCAAUGGCAUAAGCCAGCUUGACUGCGAGCGUGACGGCGCGAGCAGGUGCGAAAGCAGGUCAUAGUGAUCCGGUGGUUCUGAAUGGAAGGGCCAUCGCUCAACGGAUAAAAGGUACUCCGGGGAUAACAGGCUGAUACCGCCCAAGAGUUCAUAUCGACGGCGGUGUUUGGCACCUCGAUGUCGGCUCAUCACAUCCUGGGGCUGAAGUAGGUCCCAAGGGUAUGGCUGUUCGCCAUUUAAAGUGGUACGCGAGCUGGGUUUAGAACGUCGUGAGACAGUUCGGUCCCUAUCUGCCGUGGGCGCUGGAGAACUGAGGGGGGCUGCUCCUAGUACGAGAGGACCGGAGUGGACGCAUCACUGGUGUUCGGGUUGUCAUGCCAAUGGCACUGCCCGGUAGCUAAAUGCGGAAGAGAUAAGUGCUGAAAGCAUCUAAGCACGAAACUUGCCCCGAGAUGAGUUCUCCCUGACUCCUUGAGAGUCCUGAAGGAACGUUGAAGACGACGACGUUGAUAGGCCGGGUGUGUAAGCGCAGCGAUGCGUUGAGCUAACCGGUACUAAUGAACCGUGAGGCUUAACCUUACAACGCCGAAGCUGUU